RNAcentral lists this ribosomal RNA (465 nucleotides) under Vreelandella stevensii. RNAcentral's name for it is "partial 16S ribosomal RNA". It matches the Rfam family "Bacterial small subunit ribosomal RNA", at positions 338 to 795 of the family's 1533-position model. The record is from RNAcentral. Lineage: Bacteria; Pseudomonadati; Pseudomonadota; Gammaproteobacteria; Oceanospirillales; Halomonadaceae.
CCUACGGGUGGCUGCAGUGGGGAAUAUUGGACAAUGGGCGAAAGCCUGAUCCAGCCAUGCCGCGUGUGUGAAGAAGGCCUUCGGGUUGUAAAGCACUUUCAGUGGGGAAGAAAGCCUUGGGGCUAAUACCCUCGAGGAAGGACAUCACCCACAGAAGAAGCACCGGCUUACUCCGUGCCAGCAGCCGCGGUAAUACGGAGGGUGCGAGCGUUAAUCGGAAUUACUGGGCGUAAAGCGCGCGUAGGCGGUCUGAUAAGCCGGUUGUGAAAGCCCCGGGCUCAACCUGGGAACGGCAUCCGGAACUGUCAGGCUAGAGUGCAGGAGAGGAAGGUAGAAUUCCCGGUGUAGCGGUGAAAUGCGUAGAGAUCGGGAGGAAUACCAGUGGCGAAGGCGGCCUUCUGGACUGACACUGACGCUGAGGUGCGAAAGCGUGGGUAGCAAACAGGAUUAGAUACCCCUGUAGUC